This 618-nucleotide ribosomal RNA is filed under the name Salmonella enterica. Its description in RNAcentral is "partial 23S ribosomal RNA". It matches the Rfam family "Bacterial large subunit ribosomal RNA", at positions 711 to 1326 of the family's 2925-position model. The record is from RNAcentral. Lineage: Bacteria; Pseudomonadati; Pseudomonadota; Gammaproteobacteria; Enterobacterales; Enterobacteriaceae.
AGACCCGAAACCCGGUGAUCUAGCCAUGGGCAGGUUGAAGGUUGGGUAACACUAACUGGAGGACCGAACCGACUAAUGUUGAAAAAUUAGCGGAUGACCUGUGGCUGGGGGUGAAAGGCCAAUCAAACCGGGAGAUAGCUGGUUCUCCCCGAAAGCUAUUUAGGUAGCGCCUCGUGAAUUCAUCUCCGGGGGUAGAGCACUGUUUCGGCUAGGGGGCCAUCCCGGCUUACCAACCCGAUGCAAACUGCGAAUACCGGAGAAUGUUAUCACGGGAGACACACGGCGGGUGCUAACGUCCGUCGUGAAGAGGGAAACAACCCAGACCGCCAGCUAAGGUCCCAAAGUCAUGGUUAAGUGGGAAACGAUGUGGGAAGGCCCAGACAGCCAGGAUGUUGGCUUAGAAGCAGCCAUCAUUUAAAGAAAGCGUAAUAGCUCACUGGUCGAGUCGGCCUGCGCGGAAGAUGUAACGGGGCUAAACCAUGCACCGAAGCUGCGGCAGCGACACUAUGUGUUGUUGGGUAGGGGAGCGUUCUGUAAGCCUGUGAAGGUGUGUCGUGAGGCAUGCUGGAGGUAUCAGAAGUGCGAAUGCUGACAUAAGUAACGAUAAAGCGGGUGAAA